ACAGAAGACGAAGAGCUGGAAUAGAGCUCGCCUCGGCUCUGCUGGCCUUGGCUGCAGCUCUUCCAGAAACCCGGGGCGCCCACAGAAGAAUCUCUUACCUGGCUCUCUCUUCAGGGAUGACAUCAUCGGCUCACACCAGUCUUCCAGGACCACCUUCUGGAUGCCAAGGCUGCUGCUCGAGUACCUGCUGUGCACCUCUACCUCCUGGUACCCCAGCCACUCCCUCAAGUUGCCUGCAUGUUAUAUGGCCUAGCCAAGGAGCACGGAUUCCAGGAACCCACUACCAUACAGAGCAACUCCUUGUGGACCCCCCUGGGAUCAGGACAGCGAGGGACAAGCGACAAAGAGGAUCAUCAGUGGCCAGCUAGUUUCUCUGGGGUUCAAACCUUGAACCAGUGCCCUAGUGAGGGGGCACUGGCCAUGGCCCUUGACCUUUGCUCUGCUUGUGUCUUGAGUCUGAGCCCUUUCCUGUACAUCUGUGCUCGUGUUCAUCUGCUAGUGAACUGGAGUGCUGCCCUCCCCGAGGAGGGUCGUCCCUUGUGACUGAUCAUGCUGUCCUAACAAUGUCCUGAGCAAAAGGGUCCCUUUGGGAACCUCUCAGGAGGGGGACCCGGGUCAGGGGCGACCAGCAUCUUGCUGGCAACUCCGUGGGUGGGGUGGGGUGGGGUGCUUCCUUCUGGAAUGAGCACGUGGCUGACCCCCCAAGGCAUGUCCCCUCCCCCUCCUCCACCCACCUUCUCGGAGAUGUCCCUUUUGGGGUAGUGGGGACAUUAGGAGCAACCUCCUAGGGUUGUUGUGAGAAUUAAAUGAACUGCAGCAGCCUGAGGCAGGGCUGGGCAGAGACCUCAGCACAUGUUUGUUGAAAGGUUUGCAGGUGGAUCUAGUCCUCCCGUUCAUGGCUCAUGUGUCUCAACCAUUCUCUCGCAGACUCCUGCAGCCCCUAUGCCCAGGGCUCUCCUUGCGCCAGAGGUAGGUGGGAAAGAGAACUGGGAGAGCCCGGACUCACUCAUGAGAUUGAACUUAAAUUCACACGGAGGACACUUGGACUCUUGCCACAUUAGCCCCGGCUUCUCGAGGCCUGUCUACACUCGCUGCUUUCCUUCCUCACCUCCAAUUUCCCCUCCAACCCACUGCUUCCUGACUCGCUCUUCUCCAUCGAACGGCUCUCGCUCAGGUUUAAGGCUUGGCUUGCUGGCCCUGGAGAUCCCGUCGCCGUCUUCGUCGAACUCGAAAUCCUAGCCAUCGUCCUUCCCUGGCCUGUCGCGUCUUCCUGUGCCAUUUGCUGUUGUGCUCAGGUUCCACGAGCUGCCCAUCUCCACAGAAGAGCAGCUGGCAUUGCCCACCGGCCAUGCCGGCUGAAGAAAAGAAGACUGAGGACCCCAGGAUGCCCAGCGCGAGGACCCCAGGAAGCCCAGCGCGAGGACUCCACCCACGACGCCCAGCGCGAGGACUUCACGCACAACACGUUGCAACCCUCCUGGAUUAGGCCUCUACAGCCACGGGGACGCCUUGCACAUUUCCUGUGGGACAUGCUGGACCCAAGACUCUGGACCCUGGCCUCCCCUUGAGUAGAGAGACCCACCUACUGACUGAUGAACUGCGCUGACCCUGGGGUCAGGCAUGUGGCCUUGAUCCCUACCCAUGGACCCUGAGACUUGGGGGGGUGGGAGAAAGGCUGUUGUGUCUUCACUGUUGAGUCUACAUCUGUGAAAUGGGCUCAGGUUCCUACCUCACAGGGCUGUUGUGAGGCAGCCGCAAUGUGCUUAGAAGCAUGGGGCCUAGUGGCUCAUGGUGCUUUCAAUAAAUUUCUUGUUUUAAC
Molecule: long non-coding RNA, 1819 nt
Filed under: Mus musculus (house mouse)
Lineage: Eukaryota; Metazoa; Chordata; Mammalia; Rodentia; Muridae
Description: maternally expressed 3
Rfam family: Maternally expressed 3 conserved region 2 (bases 564-665)
Source: RNAcentral